This 468-nucleotide ribosomal RNA is filed under the name uncultured bacterium. Its description in RNAcentral is "partial 16S ribosomal RNA". It matches the Rfam family "Bacterial small subunit ribosomal RNA", at positions 28 to 507 of the family's 1533-position model. The record is from RNAcentral.
GACGAACGCUGGCGGCGUGCUUAACACAUGCAAGUCGAACGGAAAGGCCCUGCUUUUGUGGGGUGCUCGAGUGGCGAACGGGUGAGUAACACGUGAGUAACCUGCCCUUGACUUUUGGAUAACUUCAGGAAACUGGGGCUAAUACCGCAUAGGAGCUCCUGCUGCAUGGUGGGGGUUGGACAGUUUCGGCGGUUGGGGAUGGACUCGCGGCUUAUCAGCUUGUUGGUGGGGUAGUGGCUUACCAAGGCUUUGACGGGUAGCCGGCCUGAGAGGGUGACCGGCCACAUUGGGACUGAGAUACGGCCCAGACUCCUACGGGAGGCAGCAGUGGGGAAUAUUGCACAAUGGGCGGAAGCCUGAUGCAGAAACGCCGCGUGCGGGAUGAAGGCCUUCGGGUGGUAAACCGCUUUCGCCUGUGACGAAGCGUGAGUGACGGUAAUGGGUAAAGAAGCACCGGCUAACUACGUG